Long non-coding RNA from Myotis brandtii (Brandt's bat), 803 nucleotides. RefSeq lists it as uncharacterized. Lineage: Eukaryota; Metazoa; Chordata; Mammalia; Chiroptera; Vespertilionidae. The record is from RefSeq and is a predicted model, not a curated record. The transcript is spliced from 2 exons.
ACCCCAAAACCCGUGUCUGUGUUCUCCCCGCAGCCGAACCCCAGGGCGUGAUCCCUGGCAUCAUCGGGGCCGUGGUGGUGGCUGUGGCCGGGGCCAUUUCCAGCUUCAUCGCCUACCAGAAGAAGAAGCUCUGCUUCAAGGAGAACGUUCAACAGACGCUCCUGGCGAAAUAGAAUAUGGGCGGGAAAACCAAAAAACAAACAAAAAAAACAGCCCAGUGUGUUGGCAGCAGGACUUGCAAGACGUACCUGCUGUAGCUCCAAGGAAUACCUGGGGGUGGGCGGGGCCUGCCACACCUGGACCAGCCCUUCCAGGAGCCACCUCACCUGGAUCAGCCCCACCUGGCCCGGUUCUGCCAGGACCCACCGACACCUGCCCGGACCGGCCCGGUCUCGCCCUUGCCUUUGCUCCAGUUGGAUUCUUGCUCUUCAUCUUCUAUGCAGUUGGCCUGCCUGAGGGUCAGGCGGUGUGGACCUAACCAUUGAGCUUUCCAGGCCCCCAGGAACAUUGCUCUCGCCUCCCUCCUCCUCCCAGGCCCCCCGAGGGGUCUCCACUCGCGUCCGUCACACGCUCGCCCACUCCCCCCCCGUCAUUCGAAUUCCCGGAAUCCGUGUACGCGGAGCCGGGUGCCCGCGGGGCCGCCUGUGGGUGUGCCCGGCCGCUGGCAAAUUUCACACAAAAAAACCCCCAAAAAACGGAGGGAGGGAGCCUUCCAGCCAUUCGUCGAAAGGGUUUUUGUGCCUGAGGAUGGGUUUAAUUUUAUUUUUGUUUUCUACAUCCUAAUAAAAAGGGGUGAGAAGCCA